This 440-nucleotide ribosomal RNA is filed under the name uncultured bacterium. RNAcentral's name for it is "partial 16S ribosomal RNA". It matches the Rfam family "Bacterial small subunit ribosomal RNA", at positions 338 to 795 of the family's 1533-position model. The record is from RNAcentral.
CCUACGGGAGGCAGCAGUGGGGAAUAUUGCACAAUGGGGGAAACCCUGAUGCAGCGACGCCGCGUGAGUGAAGAAGUAUUUCGGUACGUAAAGCUCUAUCAGCAGGGAAGAAAAUGACGGUACCUGACUAAGAAGCCCCGGCUAACUACGUGCCAGCAGCCGCGGUAAUACGUAGGGGGCAAGCGUUAUCCGGAUGUACUGGUUGUAAAGGGAGCGUAGACGGCAGCGCAAGUCUGGAGUGAAAUCCCAUGGCUUAACCAUGGAACUGCUUUGGAAACUGUGCAGCUAGAGUGCAGGAGAGGUAAGCGGAAUUCCUAGUGUAGCGGUGAAAUGCGUAGAUAUUAGGAGGAACACCAGUGGCGAAGGCGGCUUACUGGACUGUAACUGACGUUGAGGCUCGAAAGCGUGGGGAGCAAACAGGAUUAGAUACCCCGGUAGUC